GUAGGUGAACCUGCGGAAGGAUCAUUAGUGAAAUUCGGGAGUCCCUCCUAACCGGAGAAGGCCCAACUUACACUUAUUCUUUACACUGUGCAUUUGUCCCCCCUACCAUUUUUUUACACUUGGUGCCAACUGAAAACAGUGACUUGAUACAAACGAAAGUUGAUUAUUAAAAAGAAAAACUUUCAGCAAUGGAUCUCUUGGCUCUC
Molecule: unclassified non-coding RNA, 206 nt
Filed under: rhizosphere metagenome
Description: partial ribosomal RNA internal transcribed spacer region
Source: RNAcentral